RNAcentral lists this ribosomal RNA (143 nucleotides) under uncultured eukaryote. RNAcentral's name for it is "partial small subunit ribosomal RNA". It matches the Rfam family "Bacterial small subunit ribosomal RNA", at positions 1383 to 1525 of the family's 1533-position model. The record is from RNAcentral.
GUACACACCGCCCGUCACACCAUGGGAGUGGGCUGCACCAGAAGUAGAUAGCUUAACCUUCGGGAGGGCGUUUACCACGGUGUGGUUCAUGACUGGGGUGAAGUCGUAACAAGGUAGCCGUAGGUGAACCUGCAGAAGGAUCA